Molecule: unclassified non-coding RNA, 329 nt
Filed under: Hevea brasiliensis (rubber tree)
Lineage: Eukaryota; Viridiplantae; Streptophyta; Magnoliopsida; Malpighiales; Euphorbiaceae
Source: RNAcentral
UGCUUUCACUAUGUGCUUGAAAGCCCUAGUAACCAUCUCAUGGAUGCAAAGUGAUUGUAUGUGAGGAAGCUCAUCUGCCAGUUCAACCUGAUUUCAACAAGACCAGAACCAAUAAAAUUAGAAUAUUUUACUUAAAACAUGUGAAAGUAUGAAAAUUUUCUAUGAAAUCACUCUUUUCCAAAAGCAUUUUACAACUACAAAAUAAUUUUUACCUGGCAGUAUGCCUCCCAAAGAAAUAUUUAUGACUUGCAUGAUUUGGUUUAAAUUAGAUGGUUGCUUAAAAUGAAUUAUAUAUAUAUACCAAACUAACACACAGAGAGAGAAUGAUU